RNAcentral lists this ribosomal RNA (468 nucleotides) under uncultured bacterium. RNAcentral describes it as "partial 16S ribosomal RNA". It matches the Rfam family "Bacterial small subunit ribosomal RNA", at positions 28 to 507 of the family's 1533-position model. The record is from RNAcentral.
GACGAACGCUGGCGGCGUGCUUAACACAUGCAAGUCGAACGGAAAGGCCAUGCUUUUGUGGGGUGCUCGAGUGGCGAACGGGUGAGUAACACGUGAGUAACCUGCCCUUGACUGUGGGAUAAAUUCAGGAAACUGGGGCUAAUACAGGAUAGGAGAUCCUGCUGCAUGGUGGGGGUUGGAAAGUUUCGGCGGUGGGGGAUGGAAUCGCGGCUUAUCAGCUGGUUGGGGGGGUAGUGGCUUACCAAGGCUUUGACGGGUAGCCGGCCUUGGAGGGUGACCGGCCUCCUUAGUCCUGAGAUACGGCCCAGACUCCUACGUUAGGCAGCAGUGGGGAAUAUUGCACAAUGGGCGGAAGCCUGAUGCAGCAACGCCGCGUGCGGGAUGACGGCCUUCGGGUUGUAAACCGCUUUCGCCUUUGACGAAGCGUGAGUGACGGUAAUGGGUAAAGAAGCACCGGCUAACUACGUG